CUAAUAGUUAUGUGCAUAUUUCUUAAGGAUGAGGCAAUGUAUUAAUUUAGAUUUUCUGUUAAUAAGCACAGGCACACUUGUAUGUGUAACAGGGCCCGACCCUGUCAACCUUUAUGCCUCUGUCAAGGCCUAAUGUUACCCGACGUCAUACAGCAGGCAGCUUCGAAAACAUUUUUUAAAUAUUUCAAAAAAUAUUGCCAUACACAGGCUUCAGGUGACAAUUGACAAAUGCAAAUAAAUUUACAUUUAUGCAUUUGGCAGACACUUUUAUCCAAAGCGACUUAAGUAGUUAUAACGGGCCAGCAUUCGUCAAACUUUUAUGACCCCCUCCCCCACCCGGUGACAGUUGCUAUCUGACAGGUCGUUUUUAUGACCCUUUGACAGGGGGGCGGGGCCAUCAAUCAAAAUCUGUACAAGUUGUCAACUUUAGACAGAAAGUAUUUAAUGGUUUUAUUGCCGGUCAUUUAGAGUGAUUGUUUUUCCUGAGUGUGUUUUAUGUCAAGCGUAUGGUGUCAUGUUUAAUGACGGCUCGUGUUUGUGACAUUUGCUGUCUAGCACCCCUCCCUUUUCGACCCGUGCGCUUCUCACCACUGCGUGUCACACAGUGAUGUGUGUGUUGUUGAAUCUAAAGUUUUGCAACAUCAAAAGUUUAUUUAAAGGCAAUCACUAAUUAUAUAUAUAUAUAUAUAUAUAUAUAUAUAUAUAUAUGUAUGUAUUAGAUGUAGCUGGUUAAACUUAAAGGCCGAUAUUUUCUAUCGAACUAGUCUAUUUUCUGUUCAGACACAAAGUUUUCUGAUGCUGAUAUUAUGUCAGUGUGUGUUUGUGUGGGGGUCGUGUGCUGUAAUCUUUGAAAGUUUAUGACCGAACCUUUAUUGGGGAGCGACAAGAGAUCUCCCGGACUCAGUUUGGAUGGAGCAGAGCUGUUAUACUCAAGUCUAUUGCGAAAUUGUCUAAACUGGUAUUAACUAUUCCUGGUAAAUCGCGGACAAGAGUGGCCUGAACAAAAAAGUCAGCCCGAGACUAGAACCUCCCGCAGCGUAACAAGGAAAUCUUGGAGCAAAGAGACGCCGAGUGGCUCGUGUUGUGCGGUUUGGAUAUCUGCUGCAAUGCGAACGUUGUGUGUACUAUUGCAAAAUAGCGGAUCUCCCCGGUUAGGAUACAGACCACAACGCUUUGGACGUAUCUUUAAAAAAGAGAAAAAUCAGAGACUUUUUGGAUUUGUCUGGGGACAUUUUAAACAUUUUGUGUCAAAUUGGAUUUAAAACAUUUCGGAUACUGGAUACCUAGUUUGAUUUGUCCACAGAUCUUGUUUAAGACGUUUUCACCUCAUUUUAGGGUUUAUUUUUAAUUAAAGGCUUCUUAAAACAUGUAUGAAAAUGUGUAUAUUAUACAAUGAGUCUUAUAUUGUCUGCUCUGACAAAAAUAAAUUAUUAUUUUAGAUCUUA
Molecule: non-coding RNA, 1445 nt
Organism: Paramisgurnus dabryanus
Lineage: Eukaryota; Metazoa; Chordata; Actinopteri; Cypriniformes; Cobitidae
Source: RefSeq, a predicted model, not a curated record